CCCACUGUAGCUCAGUUGGUAGAGCAUGGUGCUUGCAAUGCCAGGGUUGUGGGUUUGAUUCCCAUGGGGGGC
Molecule: transfer RNA, 72 nt
Filed under: Salmo salar (Atlantic salmon)
Lineage: Eukaryota; Metazoa; Chordata; Actinopteri; Salmoniformes; Salmonidae
Rfam family: tRNA
About the family: Transfer RNA (tRNA) molecules are approximately 80 nucleotides in length.
Source: Rfam by way of RNAcentral